UCGGGAAUUUUGGGCAAUGGGCGAAAGCCUGACCCAGCAACGCCGCGUGAAGGAUGAAGUAUUUCGGUAUGUAAACUUCGAAAGAAUAGGAAGAAUAAAUGACGGUACUAUUUAUAAGGUCCGGCUAACUACGUGCCAGCAGCCGCGGUAAUACGAAGGGGGCUAGCGUUGUUCGGAAUUACUGGGCGUAAAGCGCACGUAGGCGGACUGAUAAGUCAGGGGUGAAAUCCCGGGGCUCAACCUCGGAACUGCCUUUGAUACUGUUAGUCUCGAGUCCGGAAGAGGUGAGUGGAAUUCCUAGUGUAGAGGUGAAAUUCGUAGAUAUUAGGAAGAACACCAGUGGCGAAGGCGGCUCACUGGUCCGGUACUGACGCUGAGGUGCGAAAGCGUGGGGAGCAAACAGGAUUAGAUACCCUUGUAGUCCCUGAGCGGGCUGGCAAGGCGCAU
Molecule: ribosomal RNA, 447 nt
Filed under: uncultured bacterium
Lineage: Bacteria
Description: bacterial SSU rRNA
Rfam family: Bacterial small subunit ribosomal RNA
Source: RNAcentral